GCCUGGGUGGCACAGUCGGUUAGGCGCCCGACUUCGGCUCAGGUCAUGAUCUCUCUGUCCGUGAGUUCGAGCCCCGCCUCGGGCU
Molecule: non-coding RNA, 85 nt
Organism: Felis catus (domestic cat)
Lineage: Eukaryota; Metazoa; Chordata; Mammalia; Carnivora; Felidae
Source: Rfam